This 268-nucleotide ribosomal RNA is filed under the name uncultured prokaryote. RNAcentral describes it as "partial 16S ribosomal RNA". It matches the Rfam family "Archaeal small subunit ribosomal RNA", at positions 459 to 727 of the family's 1478-position model. The record is from RNAcentral.
CAGCCGCCGCGGUAAUACCAGCACCUCGAGUGGUCAGGACGUUUAUUGGGCCUAAAGCAUCCGUAGCCGGCUUUGCAAGUCUUCGGUUAAAUCCACCUGCUCAACAGAUGGGCCGCUGGAGAUACUACAAAGCUAGGGAGUGGGAGAGGCAGACGGUAUUCAGUGGGUAGGGGUAAAAUCCUCUGAUCCAUUGAGGACCACCAGUGGCGAAGGCGGUCUGCCAGAACACGUUCGACGGUGAGGGAUGAAAGCUGGGGGAGCAAACCGG